Molecule: ribosomal RNA, 380 nt
Filed under: uncultured bacterium
Lineage: Bacteria
Description: bacterial SSU rRNA
Rfam family: Bacterial small subunit ribosomal RNA
Source: RNAcentral
CGGUAAUACGUAGGGUGCAAGCGUUAAUCGGAAUUACUGGGCGUAAAGCGUGCGCAGGCGGUUUUGUAAGUCUGAUGUGAAAUCCCCGGGCUCAACCUGGGAAUUGCAUUGGAGACUGCAAGGCUAGAAUCUGGCAGAGGGGGGUAGAAUUCCACGUGUAGCAGUGAAAUGCGUAGAGAUGUGGAGGAACACCGAUGGCGAAGGCAGCCCCCUGGGUCAAGAUUGACGCUCAUGCACGAAAGCGUGGGGAGCAAACAGGAUUAGAUACCCUGGUAGUCCACGCCCUAAACGAUGUCUACUAGUUGUCGGGUUUUAAUUAACAUGGUAACGCAGCUAACGCGUGAAGUAGACCGCCUGGGGAGUACGGUCGCAAGAUUAAA